RNAcentral lists this ribosomal RNA (484 nucleotides) under uncultured bacterium. RNAcentral describes it as "partial 16S ribosomal RNA". It matches the Rfam family "Bacterial small subunit ribosomal RNA", at positions 28 to 507 of the family's 1533-position model. The record is from RNAcentral.
GAUUAACGCUAGCGGCAGGCAUAAUACAUGCAAGUUGAACGGCAGCACAGGUAGCACUACUGGGUGGCGAGUGGCGCACGGGUGCGUAACACGUAUGCAACCUACCCUAUACAGGCGAAUAGCCUUUAGAAAUGAGGGCUAAUACGCCGUAGUAUUACAGAUGGGCAUCUAUUUGUAAUUAAAGAUUUAUCGGUAUAGGAUGGGCAUGCGUCCCAUUAGUUAGUUGGUAAGGUAACGGCUUACCAAGACGAUGAUGGGUAGGGGAUCUGAGAGGACUUACCCCCACACUGGUACUGAGACACGGACCAGACUCCUACGGGAGGCAGCAGUAAGGAAUAUUGGGCAAUGGCCGCGAGGCUGACCCAGCCAUGCCGCGUGCAGGAAGACGGCCUUAUGGGUUGUAAACUGCUUUUAUACGGGAAUAAUAGAGUGUACGCGUACAUUUAUGCAAGUAUCGUAUGAAUAAGCAUCGGCUAACUCCGUG